GAUGAACGCUGGCGGCGUGCCUAAUACAUGCAAGUCGAGCGAACGGACGAGAAGCUUGCUUCUCUGAUGUUAGCGGCGGACGGGUGAGUAACACGUGGAUAACCUACCUAUAAGACUGGGAUAACUUCGGGAAACCGGAGCUAAUACCGGAUAAUAUUUUGAACCGCAUGGUUCAAAAGUGAAAGACGGUCUUGCUGUCACUUAUAGAUGGAUCCGCGCUGCAUUAGCUAGUUGGUAAGGUAACGGCUUACCAAGGCAACGAUGCAUAGCCGACCUGAGAGGGUGAUCGGCCACACUGGAACUGAGCCACGGUCCAGACUCCUACGGGAGGCAGCAGUAGGGAACCUUCCGCAAUGGGCGAAAGCCUGACGGAGCAACGCCGCGUGAGUGAUGAAGGUCUUCGGAUCGUAAAACUCUGUUAUUAGGGAAGAACAUAUGUGUAAGUAACUGUGCACAUCUUGACGGUACCUAAUCAGAAAGCCACGGCUAACUACGUGCCAGCAGCCGCGGUAAUACGUAGGUGGCAAGCGUUAUCCGGAAUUAUUGGGCGUAAAGCGCGCGUAGGCGGUUUUUUAAGUCUGAUGUGAAAGCCCACGGCUCAACCGUGGAGGGUCAUUGGAAACUGGAAAACUUGAGUGCAGAAGAGGAAAGUGGAAUUCCAUGUGUAGCGGUGAAAUGCGCAGAGAUAUGGAGGAACACCAGUGGCGAAGGCGACUUUCUGGUCUGUAACUGACGCUGAUGUGCGAAAGCGUGGGGAUCAAACAGGAUUAGAUACCCUGGUAGUCCACGCCGUAAACGAUGAGUGCUAAGUGUUAGGGGGUUUCCGCCCCUUAGUGCUGCAGCUAACGCAUUAAGCACUCCGCCUGGGGAGUACGACCGCAAGGUUGAAACUCAAAGGAAUUGACGGGGACCCGCACAAGCGGUGGAGCAUGUGGUUUAAUUCGAAGCAACGCGAAGAACCUUACCAAAUCUUGACAUCCUUUGACAACUCUAGAGAUAGAGCCUUCCCCUUCGGGGGACAAAGUGACAGGUGGUGCAUGGUUGUCGUCAGCUCGUGUCGUGAGAUGUUGGGUUAAGUCCCGCAACGAGCGCAACCCUUAAGCUUAGUUGCCAUCAUUAAGUUGGGCACUCUAAGUUGACUGCCGGUGACAAACCGGAGGAAGGUGGGGAUGACGUCAAAUCAUCAUGCCCCUUAUGAUUUGGGCUACACACGUGCUACAAUGGACAAUACAAAGGGCAGCGAAACCGCGAGGUCAAGCAAAUCCCAUAAAGUUGUUCUCAGUUCGGAUUGUAGUCUGCAACUCGACUACAUGAAGCUGGAGUCGCUAGUAAUCGUAGAUCAGCAUGCUACGGUGAAUACGUUCCCGGGUCU
RNAcentral lists this ribosomal RNA (1372 nucleotides) under uncultured bacterium. RNAcentral's name for it is "bacterial SSU rRNA". It matches the Rfam family "Bacterial small subunit ribosomal RNA", at positions 28 to 1381 of the family's 1533-position model. The record is from RNAcentral.